UUUCUGUAGAAAAAUCCAUCUGCCCUCACUGCAGGUUCAUCAUUACAGAAAUCACUGUUUAGAUCAAGCCAAGAGACAGACAAGUCAUUACUGCUUCCUCUCUGUAUCGUUUUAUAAGUACAUACCUCUCUCUCUUCACCUGGGAAGGACACACACACACACACACACACAAUUUAUCCUAGGAGCUUUCCCUAAUCCUCACUACAAAAUACAAAGUCUGGAGAAGAAAAGUCUGUCAAACUGGUAGAAGAGCCAUAAGAUCUUACUACAUUCACUUAUUUAUAGCUGGUUCCCACUCCUUUAAUGAUCAUCACAAAGUCAUCUUUAGGCCUAACUCUCUUAUUUCUAACACAGGUUGAGCAGAUUUUCUUUAUUUUAGUUCCAAAGAAACAGGUAGUAUUUACCUGGCUUCAGGAUUUGAAGGAAUGUUUUUUUCUGUGAAUGUUUUCAUUAUUUCCAAAAUAAAGGGACAAAUAAACUAGGGGAGGAAACAGCAUGGAAAACCCUUAUAAGUGAUAAAAAUUAAUUCGGUCCUUCUGGACUAAAGUUCAAAUCUAAGCACUAAUCAUUGUAUUGUUAAGUAAAUGUCUGAACUCUAUUAUUACUGGGUAAACUUCUCUAAUGUAGCUUUUAGAUUUUCCUCUACAUGAAAUUAUAUGGAGAUGAAAGUGUUAACCAAAUUUAGUAUUAGAAACAAAGAUGAAUUUUAACUAAUCCAUAUAUAAGGAAAGGUUACAGAAAUGUCACUUAUCAAACAGUGCCAAAGGGCACUUCUGCAUAAACUAGAUAAAGGCCACAGGCUCUAUUCUCCUCCUCACUUAGGGGGCUGUCACACUCUCCCACUUCUCAAUCAAGGGACUAUAAGGGAUCACCUGAGUAAUAGAAAACCUACACUUCUGCAUAAACUAGAUAAAGGCCACAGGCUCUAUUCUCCUCCUCACUUAGGGGGCUGUCACACUCUCCCACUUCUCAGUCAAGGGACUAUAAGGGAUCACCUGAGUAAUAGAAAACCUACAGCUUCCAACUUCCAA
Molecule: long non-coding RNA, 1031 nt
Filed under: Lynx pardinus (Iberian lynx)
Lineage: Eukaryota; Metazoa; Chordata; Mammalia; Carnivora; Felidae
Source: RNAcentral